GAUGAACGCUGGCGGCGUGCCUAAUACAUGCCAGUAGAACGCUGAAGGAAGGAGCUUGCUCUUUCCGGAUGAGUUGCGAACGGGUGAGUAACGCGUAGGUAACCUGCCUGGUAGCGGGGGAUAACUAUUGGAAACGAUAGCUAAUACCGCAUAACAGUAGAUGUUGCAUGAUAUCUACUUAAAAGGUGCAAUUGCACCACUACCAGAUGGACCUGCGUUGUAUUAGCUAGUUGGUGAGGUAACGGCUCACCAAGGCGACGAUACAUAGCCGACCUGAGAGGGUGAUCGGCCACACUGGGACUGAGACACGGCCCAGACUCCUACGGGAGGCAGCAGUAGGGAAUCUUCGGCAAUGGACGGAAGUCUGACCGAGCAACGCCGCGUGAGUGAAGAAGGUUUUCGGAUCGUAAAGCUCUGUUGUAAGAGAAGAACGAGUGUGAGAGUGGAAAGUUCACACUGUGACGGUAUCUUACCAGAAAGGGACGGCCAACUACGUG
RNAcentral lists this ribosomal RNA (497 nucleotides) under uncultured bacterium. Its description in RNAcentral is "partial 16S ribosomal RNA". It matches the Rfam family "Bacterial small subunit ribosomal RNA", at positions 28 to 507 of the family's 1533-position model. The record is from RNAcentral.